UACGUAGGGGGCAAGCGUUGUCCGGAAUCAUUGGGCGUAAAGAGCGUGUAGGCGGCCCGACAAGUCCGCCGUGAAAGUCCGAGGCUCAACCUCGGAAUGCCGGUGGAAACUGUCGGGCUUGAGUCCGGAAGAGGCGAGUGGAAUUCCUGGUGUAGCGGUGAAAUGCGCAGAUAUCAGGAGGAACACCAAUGGCGAAGGCAGCUCGCUGGGACGGCACUGACGCUGAGACGCGAAAGCGUGGGGAGCAAACAGG
Molecule: ribosomal RNA, 253 nt
Filed under: uncultured bacterium
Lineage: Bacteria
Description: partial 16S ribosomal RNA
Rfam family: Bacterial small subunit ribosomal RNA
Source: RNAcentral